Molecule: ribosomal RNA, 482 nt
Filed under: uncultured bacterium
Lineage: Bacteria
Description: bacterial SSU rRNA
Rfam family: Bacterial small subunit ribosomal RNA
Source: RNAcentral
GAACGCUGGCGGCAUGCCUUACACAUGCAAGUCGAACGGCAGCACGGGAGCAAUCCUGGUGGCGAGUGGCGAACGGGUGAGUAAUAUAUCGGAACGUGCCCAGUCGUGGGGGAUAACGCAGCGAAAGUUGUGCUAAUACCGCAUACGAUCUAUGGAUGAAAGCGGGGGAUCGCAAGACCUCGCGCGAUUGGAGCGGCCGAUAUCAGAUUAGGUUGUUGGUGAGGUAAAAGCUCACCAAGCCUGCGAUCUGUAGCUGGUCUGAGAGGACGACCAGCCACACUGGAGCUGAGACACGGUCCAGACUCCUACGGGAGGCAGCAGUGGGGAAUUUUGGACAAUGGACGAAAGUCUGAUCCAGCAAUGCCGCGUGCAGGACGAAGGCCUUCGGGUUGUAAACUGCUUUUGUACAGAACGAAAAAGUCUUUAAUAACACUAGAGGCGUCAUGACGGUACUGUAAGAAUAAGCACCGGCUAACUACGUG